RNAcentral lists this transfer RNA (60 nucleotides) under Paratapes textilis (textile venus clam). RNAcentral describes it as "Paphia textile (textile venus clam) tRNA-Val". Lineage: Eukaryota; Metazoa; Mollusca; Bivalvia; Venerida; Veneridae. The record is from RNAcentral.
CAAGGAAUAGUAUAUAGAGUAUGUUUUGUUUACACCAAAGAGGAGAAGUUUCUUCCUUGA